RNAcentral lists this ribosomal RNA (402 nucleotides) under uncultured bacterium. RNAcentral's name for it is "bacterial SSU rRNA". It matches the Rfam family "Bacterial small subunit ribosomal RNA", at positions 355 to 774 of the family's 1533-position model. The record is from RNAcentral.
UGGGGAAUCUUGCACAAUGGGGGCAACCCUGAUGCAGCGACGCCGCGUGAGCGAUGAAGCCCUUCGGGGCGUAAAGCUCUUUCGACCGGAACGAUAAUGACGGUACCGGGAGGAGAAGCUGCGGCUAACUACGCGCCAGCAGCCGCGGUAAUACGUAGGCAGCAAGCGUUGUUCGGAGUUACUGGGCGUAAAGAGUGCGUAGGCGGUUUUCUAAGUUCGGUGUGAAAUCUCCCGGCUUAACUGGGAGGGUGCGCCGAAGACUGGGAAGCUGGAGUGUGGGAAAGGCAGGCGGAAUUCCUGGUGUAGCGGUGAAAUGCGUAGAUAUCAGGAGGAACACCGGCGGUGUAGACGGCUUGCUAGACCAUAACUGACGCUGAGGCACGAAAGCGUGGGUAGCAAACA